CAGCAGUGGGGAAUAUUGGACAAUGGGCGCAAGCCUGAUCCAGCCAUACCGCGUGGGUGAAGAAGGCCUUCGGGUUGUAAAGCCCUUUUGUUGGGAAAGAAAUCCAGCUGGCUAAUACCCGGUUGGGAUGACGGUACCCAAAGAAUAAGCACCGGCUAACUUCGUGCCAGCAGCCGCGGUAAUACGAAGGGUGCAAGCGUUACUCGGAAUUACUGGGCGUAAAGCGUGCGUAGGUGGUCGUUUAAGUCCGUUGUGAAAGCCCUGGGCUCAACCUGGGAACUGCAGUGGAUACUGGGCGACUAGAAUGUGGUAGAGGGUAGCGGAAUUCCUGGUGUAGCAGUGAAAUGCGUAGAGAUCAGGAGGAACAUCCAUGGCGAAGGCAGCUACCUGGACCAACAUUGACACUGAGGCACGAAAGCGUGGGGAGCAAACAGGAUUAGAUACCCUGGUAGUCCACGCCCUAAACGAUGCGAACUGGAUGUUGGGUGCAAUUUGGCACGCAGUAUCGAAGCUAACGCGUUAAGUUCGCCGCCUGGGGAGUACGGUCGCAAGACUGAAACUCAAAGGAUU
This 570-nucleotide ribosomal RNA is filed under the name Bacillus cereus. Its description in RNAcentral is "bacterial SSU rRNA". It matches the Rfam family "Bacterial small subunit ribosomal RNA", at positions 349 to 910 of the family's 1533-position model. The record is from RNAcentral. Lineage: Bacteria; Bacillati; Bacillota; Bacilli; Caryophanales; Bacillaceae.